This 274-nucleotide ribosomal RNA is filed under the name uncultured bacterium. RNAcentral's name for it is "partial 16S ribosomal RNA". It matches the Rfam family "Bacterial small subunit ribosomal RNA", at positions 523 to 796 of the family's 1533-position model. The record is from RNAcentral.
AUACGGAGGGGGCUAGCGUUGUUCGGAAUUACUGGGCGUAAAGCGCACGUAGGCGGAUUGGUAAGUUGGGGGUGAAAUCCCAAGGCUCAACCUUGGAACUGCCCUCGAAACUGCCAGUCUUGAGUCCGGAAGAGGUGAGUGGAAUUCCUAGUGUAGAGGUGAAAUUCGUAGAUAUUAGGAAGAACACCAGUGGCGAAGGCGGCUCACUGGUCCGGUACUGACGCUGAGGUGCGAAAGCGUGGGGAGCAAACAGGAUUAGAAACCCGAGUAGUCC